AGUGAACGCUGGCGGUAGGCCUAACACAUGCAAGUCGAACGGCAGCACAGUAAGAGCUUGCUCUUACGGGUUGCGAGUGGCGGACGGGUCAGGAAUACAUCGGAAUCUACUUUUUCGUGGGGGAUAACGUAGGGAAACUUACGCUAAUACCGCAUACGACCUACGGGUGAAAGCAGGGGAUCGUCUGACCUUGCGCGAUUGAAUGAGCCGAUGUCGGAUUAGCUAGUUGGCGGGGUAAAGGCCCACCAAGGCGACGAUCCGUAGCUUGUCUGAGAGAAUGAUAGGCAGCACUGGAGCUGAGCCAGGGUCCAGACUCCUACGGGAGGGAGCAGUGGGGAAUAUUGGACAAUGGUCGCAAGCCUGGUCCAGCCAUACCGCGUGGGUGAAGAAGGCCUUCGGGUUGUAAAGCCCUUUUGUUGGGAAAGAAAAGCAGCAGGUUAAUACCCCGCUGUUCUGACGGUACCCAAAGAAUAAGCACCGGCUAACUUCGUG
Molecule: ribosomal RNA, 492 nt
Filed under: uncultured bacterium
Lineage: Bacteria
Description: partial 16S ribosomal RNA
Rfam family: Bacterial small subunit ribosomal RNA
Source: RNAcentral